This 169-nucleotide non-coding RNA is filed under the name Oceanobacillus iheyensis. RNAcentral describes it as "GlcN6P sequence". It matches the Rfam family "glmS glucosamine-6-phosphate activated ribozyme aptamer". Rfam says of the family: This entry contains a glucosamine-6-phosphate activated ribozyme that is found in the mRNA for GlmS. GlmS is an enzyme that uses fructose-6-phosphate and glutamine to generate glucosamine-6-phosphate. The ribozyme catalyses self cleavage of the glmS mRNA that is thought to regulate GlmS activity. RNAcentral also lists the same sequence under 1 other name. The record is from RNAcentral. Lineage: Bacteria; Bacillati; Bacillota; Bacilli; Caryophanales; Bacillaceae.
CUAUAAUCAAAAGCGCCAGGACUAUUCUUCGGACGGAUAGGAAGGAUAGUUGACGAGGUAGGAGGUUAUCGAAUUUUCGGCGGGUGCCUCCCGGCUGUCAUCACAGUCGAAACUUUAUCACUAAAACAGUAGGGUGACCUAUUGCACAAAAGGAUAAAGAAAGAUGUCU